GAAGCCGGAAUUGCUAGUAAUGGCAGGUCAGCAUACUGCCGUGAAUACGUUCCCGGGCCUUGUACACACCGCCCGUCACACCAUGAGAGUUGGGAAUACCCGAAGCCUGUGAGCUAACUUAUAGAGGCAGCAGUCGAAGGUAGAAUCAAUGAUUGGGGUGAAGUCGUAACAAGGUAAC
This 178-nucleotide ribosomal RNA is filed under the name uncultured bacterium. Its description in RNAcentral is "partial 16S ribosomal RNA". It matches the Rfam family "Bacterial small subunit ribosomal RNA", at positions 1322 to 1500 of the family's 1533-position model. The record is from RNAcentral.